UCCCUGGCAGUCCAUUGGUUAAGAUUCUGAGCUUCCACUGCAAGGGACCCAGGUUCGAUCCCUGGUCAGGGAA
RNAcentral lists this transfer RNA (73 nucleotides) under Bos taurus (domestic cattle). It matches the Rfam family "tRNA". From Rfam's summary of the family: Transfer RNA (tRNA) molecules are approximately 80 nucleotides in length. The record is from Rfam by way of RNAcentral. RNAcentral also lists the same sequence under 1 other name. Lineage: Eukaryota; Metazoa; Chordata; Mammalia; Artiodactyla; Bovidae.